Molecule: ribosomal RNA, 924 nt
Filed under: Triticum aestivum (bread wheat)
Lineage: Eukaryota; Viridiplantae; Streptophyta; Magnoliopsida; Poales; Poaceae
Description: partial small subunit ribosomal RNA
Source: RNAcentral
AUGGCAGGGAGGGACCUGUCGUCGAUUGCUUUCGCCAUUGCACGCUUCCUCCAGAGAGAGAACCGUCGCUGUCCACGCACCCAUCGCCACCGUGCUGCAAGUCGCCGUCGCCGUCAGGGACUUGGCGCAAGGAGUGGCCCUCGCCGCCGCUUUUUCGCCUGGAACCACCGCCAGAACCGCCGUCGUGGGUACGCACGCCAAGGCAACCGCCCGCUCCGUGGGCGAGCACCAAUGGUGCACCAGGCUAGACCCUCGGCUCCGACCACCACUGCAAACCAUGCUGGGCCUUCGGCUCCGGCUCCGGCCGUCGCCGACGACUACAUCGUACCAAUGACUCCGCCGCCAUCUGUCUUCACCAUCCCUCCGAUGGAUUGGCUCCUUGGAGGUCCAUCGGCGCCAUUCCUCGGAGAAGAAGAGAUGUUCCCUUGCGAACUCGCGCCACCGCCUCUGCCCCCGUACGGGUUCGAAUCAUGCCCAGCGCGUACGGGCGCACCACCGCGGAAGCCGUCUCCGACGCCAUCAGACGAACUGCCGGAGCACUUCAUCCCUCCUGGAUACGGCCCCGUCCCGGAUCUCCCAUCCCCGACGCCGGCGGCAGCGGGAACCGGCGGCUACCCUUCCAUCCCCGACUUGAACAUCAAGAUCAAGGUUGAAGAAGAGGAGAUAGAGGACCAGGGCUCGUCGUCGACGCCACCACGUUCAUCACCGGCGACACCACCUCCUCCUCCGGCACCGCCUCUUCCUCCGACGCCUCCGCCGAAAGCCCGCCGGAUCCUGCGCCAAUUCGCCGCGGCCAUGGCGCAAAACCAUGCAGCCCUUCGUGGCGCGUGGUCGCUGGAUGCCCUUGGCCUCACCGGCGCCCCUGGGGCGAGCAGCAGCGGAGCAGGCCGUGCUGCGAAGCGGGGCCCAACUCGCUUCCAUUGA